RNAcentral lists this ribosomal RNA (384 nucleotides) under Triticum aestivum (bread wheat). Its description in RNAcentral is "partial small subunit ribosomal RNA". Lineage: Eukaryota; Viridiplantae; Streptophyta; Magnoliopsida; Poales; Poaceae. The record is from RNAcentral.
AUGGCAGCUUACGAGAUGUGUGUAUCCAGCAAAUGGCCAUCAGAUGGCCUCGCCAUUAGCUCAUACAUCUCCCUCCUGACAAUGCUCAUGGACAAGGAAGAGGACGUGCACAAGUUGCGAGCGAAGCACCUCGUUCGCAGCUUACUCAGUAACCACGAGCUGCUUGUUUUCUUCAAGAGUCUCGCAUGCCAUUUGCGCCUUGGCUACCGCUAUUUCGUCAUCACUGAGAAGAUAGAUAAGUUCAAGCGUGAAAGACCUGUGAGGAUAGCCCUGCAUAGGUUCGUCUACAACAACUUCAAGACAAUCGUCGUCAUGCUCUCUAUUACUGGUGUGCUCGCAGGUAUCUUCAGAACCUUGAUGAGUCUCAAACAGCAUCAGCCAUAG